GAUUAACGCUGGCGGCGUGCAUAACACAUGCAAGUCGAACGAUGAAACUUAGUAGACUUCUUCGGAAAGACACUACGCGGAUUAGUGGCGAACGGGUGAGUAACGCGUGAGUAACCUGCCUUACACAAGGGGAUAGCCUUUUGAAACGAAGAAUAAUACCCUAUAAAACCAUAAAAGCACAUGCUAGAAUGGUCAAAGUGAUAGCGGUGUAAGAUGGACUUGCGUCUGAUUAGCUAGUUGGUGAGAUAAAAGCUCACCAAGGCAACGAUCAGUAGCCGGCUUGAGAGAGUGUACGGCCACAUUGGGACUGAGACACGGCCCAGACUCCUACGGGAGGCAGCAGUGGGGAAUUUUGCACAAUGGGGGAAACCCUGAUGCAGCGACGCCGCGUGAUUUAGAAGGCCUUCGGGUUGUAAAAAUCUUUUGUAUAGGAAGAAAAUGACAGUACUAUACGAAUAAGGUCCGGCUAAUUACGUG
Molecule: ribosomal RNA, 477 nt
Filed under: uncultured bacterium
Lineage: Bacteria
Description: partial 16S ribosomal RNA
Rfam family: Bacterial small subunit ribosomal RNA
Source: RNAcentral